GACGAACGCUGGCGGCGUGCUUAACACAUGCAAGUCGAACGCUGAACCCGCUUCGGUGGGGGAUGAGUGGCGAACGGGUGAGUAACACGUGGGCAACCUGCCCCCGGCUCUGGGAUAACUCCAAGAAAUUGGGGCUAAUACCGGAUGUGACCGCUGGCCGCAUGGUCUGGUGGUGGAAAGGGUUUCCGGCUGGGGAUGGGCCCGCGGCCUAUCAGCUUGUUGGUGGGGUAGUGGCCUACCAAGGCGACGACGGGUAGCCGGCCUGAGAGGGUGACCGGCCACACUGGGACUGAGACACGGCCCAGACUCCUACGGGAGGCAGCAGUGGGGAAUAUUGCGCAAUGGGCGGAGGCCUGACGCAGCGACGCCGCGUGGGGGAUGACGGCCUUCGGGUUGUAAACCUCUUUCAGCAGGGACGAAGCGCAAGUGACGGUACCUGCAGAAGAAGCACCGGCCAACUACGUG
Molecule: ribosomal RNA, 465 nt
Filed under: uncultured bacterium
Lineage: Bacteria
Description: partial 16S ribosomal RNA
Rfam family: Bacterial small subunit ribosomal RNA
Source: RNAcentral